CGGACACGAAAACCACUUCGUCAUGAAAAGCCGUCUGCAUAAUGAAACACAUCCAGGUCAGUUAACGCAGGGCCAUCUCAGUGGGCUGGUACAUAUGGCCUCUGAAGGGGAUCCCAGGACGCAUCCCCCCAUGUCCGUUAUGGCGACUACAAGGUGACCGUUAUCUGACGUGUUGGCGAGCUGUGCGCACAGCAGAUCGCACGCUCACCAUAAAUAACGGACUGUAUAAAAG
Molecule: long non-coding RNA, 232 nt
Organism: Oncorhynchus keta (chum salmon)
Lineage: Eukaryota; Metazoa; Chordata; Actinopteri; Salmoniformes; Salmonidae
Exons: 3
Source: RefSeq, a predicted model, not a curated record